Molecule: ribosomal RNA, 91 nt
Filed under: Vibrio parahaemolyticus
Lineage: Bacteria; Pseudomonadati; Pseudomonadota; Gammaproteobacteria; Vibrionales; Vibrionaceae
Also listed under: 1 other name
Description: partial 16S ribosomal RNA
Rfam family: Bacterial small subunit ribosomal RNA
Source: RNAcentral
UUAAAUUGAAGAGUUUGAUCAUGGCUCAGAUUGAACGCUGGCGGCAGGCCUAACACAUGCAAGUCGAGCGGAAACGAGUUAUCUGAACCUU